AUAGCAAUUUUUACUUUUGUAAUUUGUAUUUGUAAUACCUAUAUUUUUUUCCAGUAGGUAACCAUAAACCAGUUACAUUUACAAGUUUAUCGCGCACACUUGUCUAAAAUCGUUUGGAAGAAUGCAAGUCACAUAAUAACAGAUAGAGCAACAUUUUCAUUCAAUCACAUAUAAACGUAUAAUGUGUUAUGAAGUGAUGAUAUAAUGUGCAUAGUAUAAAACUUUUAAUAUUGUUUUAAUGCUAAGUUUUAAAAAAUGGCCCCGAAUUUAAGCAAAUUUACCUCCAGAACUGAUGUAAAAAUUGGUAUAGCCGCUUCUGCGGCAUUAAGUGCAUGGUUAUUGAGAAAUUUCUUAAAACCAAGUGCUUCCAAAAAUCUCAAACCUGGGCUCUCACCUGAAGAAAGAGUGCAAUAUAUGAUUAAAGAUAAAGACAAAAAGGAGCCAAAAGCACAAGUAGAUGCCAGAUUUUUUGCUGAACUCAAAGUACUAUGGGGUAUAAUGGUGCCAGGACUAUGGACCAAGGAAAGUGGCUUCAUGGUGUUAAUAGCUCUUUCAUUAAUAUCUAGAACACUCUGUGACCUGUGGCUUAUUCAGCAUACAACACUUGUAGAAGGGUCAAUCAUUACAAUGAAUCACAAGGAGUUCAGGCGAUUGUUAUUGAUGUUCUUCACGGCGAUGCCUUUGAUAUCUUUAGUAAACAAUGUCUUAAAGUGGAGCAUAGGAGAAGUUAAAUUAAGAUUAAGAACUAAUCUUUCCUUACAUUUAUAUCAACAAUAUUUAAAAGGUUUCACAUAUUACCAAGUGACGAAUCUAGACAACAGAAUAUCGAACGCAGACCAGUUGCUGACCACAGAUAUAGACAAAUUCUGCGAUACCGUUAUAGAUUUAUAUAGCAAUAUCAGCAAACCUCUACUAGACAUCUCUAUAUAUUUGUACAGAUUGACUGUUAAUUUGGGACCCUCGACACCAGGCAUUAUGAUGAUUUACCUGUUCUUCUCUGGUAUAUUUUUAACGUACCUCCGAAAACCCACAGCUCGAAUGACAGUUCAAGAACAAAAAUUAGAAGGUGAAUUCAGAUAUGUUAAUUCAAGACUUAUUACAAACUCUGAAGAAAUUGCAUUCUAUCAAGGUAAUCAUCGCGAACAGCUAACGAUACUCGCCAGCUUCUACAAGCUGACGAGGCAUCUUCGCAACUUCCUUAACUUCAGAGUCGGAAUGGGAUUCGUUGACAAUAUUAUUGCGAAGUAUAUCGCCAUCACAGUCGGUUUCUACGCAGUAUCACGCCCGUUCUUCGUAGAAGACCACAAUCUGUUAACGGCUGGCACUGAACAGGACCGAUUCAGGCACUACUACACAUACGGGCGUAUGCUGGUGAAGAUGGCGGAGGGCAUCGGGCGGCUGGUGCUGUCGGGCCGCGAGCUCAGCAAGCUGGCGGGGCUGACGGCGCGCGUGACGCAGCUGCGCCGCGUGCUGGCCGACAUCAACCGCGGGAACUACACGCGCACCAUGCUCGAGCGGCCGCCCGGGCACGACGGCGGCCCGCCGGCGCUGGCCCCCGGCGCCGGCCGCAUCGUGUACCAGGACAAGAUCAUCCGCUUCGACCGAGUGCCGCUCGUGACGCCAAACGGGGACGUGCUCAUCAAGGAGCUUAGCUUCGAAGUCAAAUCUGGUAUCAACGUGCUCGUAUGUGGUCCGAACGGUUGUGGAAAAUCUUCAAUGUUCCGUAUGUUAGGCGAGCUGUGGCCAAUAUUCGGAGGAACACUCACAAAGCCCCCGAAAGGGAAGCUGUUUUAUGUCCCACAACGACCUUAUAUGACCCUCGGCACUUUUAGGGAUCAAGUGACCUACCCGCAGACGCGCGAGGAGAUGUCGCGGCGCGGCCGCACGGACGCCGAGCUGCUGCGGUUCCUGGACAUCGUGCAGCUCUCCUACCUCGUGCAGCGCGAAGGCGGCUGGGACGCCGUCGAGGACUGGAUGGACGUGCUGUCGGGCGGGGAGAAGCAGCGGAUAGCCAUGGCGCGGCUGUUCUACCACGCGCCGCAGUUCGCGAUCCUGGACGAGUGCACGAGCGCCGUGUCCGUCGACGUCGAGGGACAGAUGUACCAGUACUGCAGAGAGAUGGGUAUAUCACUCUUUACCGUUUCACAUCGGAAAUCUUUAUGGAAACAUCAUGACCACUACUUACAAAUGGACGGACGUGGAGGUUACGUCUUCGAAGAGAUCGACAAUGAAACGACGGAAUUCGGCUCUUGAUCCGCCUUUUUGGAUAAAUAGAAACUUCUAGAAAAACCAGUAAAAGCUAUAUACCUAUAAUUUUACGGACAAUAUAAUAUAACAAGUUUAAGAUCUAAUACAAUAUUGUUAGUAUUCAGAUGUCUCCGAUAGCUAUUAUUGAUGUGGUUUGUAUAUUCCGAUAACUUCAUUGAAUCACAAUAAUAGUAAUUGUAAUAUUUUAUACGCAUCUAAUGUGAUCCUAUAUUCAAGCAAAUAUUAUUAUUAUAUUUAAGUAUUUCAUAUACGUAAUAGAAAUACUAAAGUACCGUUGUAUUACUUAUUGAACAAAUACAUAUGUGUAUUACUUAAGUAAUAAUACCUAUAUCUACAAUUUAUACAAAAUGCCUUAAAAUAUAAUUUAUAUUUUUUUGAUAUAUAAUUCAAAAUAUGUAUAAAUAAAUACGUAAUUUAUCAUAUAUCUAAAAGAGAAAUAUAUUUAUAAAACUUUCGUAACAAGUCCUACAGACGCGAAAAUCUUUUAGGUUAAAUAAUUAAAUGUAAUAUAUUUAAUUGCAAUGUAAUGUAUUCAUAACAAGUCCUUUGAAACAUAUUUUUUUAAAUACCUUGAAAUUCUAAUUAAACUAUUAUUAGGAAGAAUAUUUUAUUACGUAUUAUAUUGUAAUAGAUUUUUUUUAAUAUUUUUAAUUUGUGUUUAUAAUUGUCUGUAUUAACUUAAGUAUCAUGUAGAUUUUUUAUACACUGUAACGACGUCAUAAUUAAGCGUUAAUACUCGCCACAAUAUUUGCUCAUUUUCUAAGAGUAUAUCGCGAUAAAACUAAUUUAAUUUGAAACGGGACCAGAUUCAUUUGUUAGAUUUUUAUUAAUAUUUAUUCAUGCAUAGAAUCGAAAUAUUAACAAAUAAUAACAUACUAAAAAAAUAUGUAUGUUUCUAAUUAUUUUUUAAAAUCCUAAUAAAAUAAUUAGCAUCUUGAUAGUUCAAGCACUUUUCUUGUUCAUAUGGUAUAUAUUCAUUCCGAUUCAUAAUAAGAAGUAAUUUCAGAUAUUGCACAAAGUACAAAUAAAAGCCUUUAAAGUAAUAUUACUAUUACGAGCUAAAAAUUUAAUAUCAGCAAAGUGUAAU
Vanessa tameamea is the source of this 3355-nucleotide RNA transcript. It is a transcript of the gene named ATP-binding cassette sub-family D member 3, with no coding region annotated. NCBI's taxonomy places the organism in Eukaryota, Metazoa, Arthropoda, Insecta, Lepidoptera, Nymphalidae. The record is from RefSeq and is a predicted model, not a curated record. The transcript has 16 exons.